This 274-nucleotide ribosomal RNA is filed under the name uncultured bacterium. Its description in RNAcentral is "partial 16S ribosomal RNA". It matches the Rfam family "Bacterial small subunit ribosomal RNA", at positions 523 to 796 of the family's 1533-position model. The record is from RNAcentral.
AUACGGAGGGUGCAAGCGUUACUCGGAAUCACUGGGCGUAAAGCGCGCGCAGGCGGCUAUUUAAGUUGGAUGUGAAAGCCUACGGCUCAACCGUAGAACUGCAUCCAAAACUAUUUAGCUAGAGUGUGGGAGAGGAAGAUGGAAUUAGUUGUGUAGGGGUAAAAUCCGUAGAGAUAACUAGGAAUACCAAAAGCGAAGGCAAUCUUCUGGAACACUACUGACGCUGAGGCGCGAAAGCGUGGGGAGCAAACAGAAUUAGAAACCCUAGUAGUCC